RNAcentral lists this long non-coding RNA (3301 nucleotides) under Homo sapiens (human). RNAcentral describes it as "HSALNT0385444". Lineage: Eukaryota; Metazoa; Chordata; Mammalia; Primates; Hominidae. The record is from RNAcentral.
UCAAGAAUGUACAGCUCCAAACACCUGCUCCUCCACAGAAACAGGGAAAACCAAGCAGAACUGUCAGAAACGAUGUUGUAAAACCUGUUGAAAACCAUCAAGUUGUACAGCAACCAUGUAACUACAAAAUCAAGAAAAACAAUGAAGAACAGGAGAAAAGCCUCGUGGACUUUUUACACGUCCUUGCCCAAAUCCUUCCCUUACUUGAUGGCAGUCUUAAAAACAACAUCCUGAGUUGCCAGUAUGGGCCUCUGCUCAGUGGUUCCAGAGGGAAAAGAGGAGGUCUUACUUGCAAAGUAUUGUGUUGUUACAUUAAAAUCUGUAUUAGGGCUAUCCAGAGGUCUGAAACAAGGCUCUCUUUUUUCUCUAAGUCAGAAAAAAAAAUCAGUUUAAAAAAUUGGCACGAGUUACUUGGGAGUAUUUUAAGGAAACUGAAAGCCAGCAGCCCCCUGGAGAACAGAUUACAGACGACACAUACAAUAGGUCACAUAAAGCCAAGAAUAAAAAGCUAACGUGAGAUUUUGUUUUGUUUUACAAAUUAGGCUAUUAAAAAGCACCCAGGUAUGCUGGCAAAUUGACAAAGCACUCUGUGCAUAACCACGAAAAACACAUUUUCUUAAAGACCCAAGAAGACCCUCAUUUUCAGCACUGGCUGACCUUCAGGCUCAGCUCAGCAGAAAGUGAAGACUGAAGCAAAGUUUUCAACAGUCUGCACAUGUGUUAAAGGAACGCCCCAGCCCAGAGCCAUCCACAAAAACUGGAAGAAUCCGUCAGUUUGUCUUUGUCUCAGUUUUGUCAUAUAGACCUUUGUGACACACAGAUCUAUAUACAAUGGAAACUACAAAUUUCUAAUGAAAGAGCCAUGAAAGAUCACAAAAGAUCUUAAUAAAUAGAAAGACAUUUAAUGUGCAUGAUCAUAAAAUCUCAAUAUUGUCAAGAUAUAAUUUCUCCCCAAUUUGAGUUAUAGGCAAGAGAGUCACAUCAUCUAGGUGAUUGGCCAAACAUAUGUCACAAUCCCUUCCAUUGACAGCUCCCAAAAAAGGAGUUACAUCACCUAGGUGCUCAGCUCUGAGAUGUGUCACAACAUUGCCCAAUACAGGCAGGCCACAGGCGGGAGAGUCACAUUUCCUGGGUGCUUGGCCCAGUGGUAUGUCACAUUUCCUUAUGUAGGAAGGGCACACGUAGCAAGAGAGAGUCACAUUACCUAGGUACUGUGCUAGAGCUAUCAGUCUCUGUGUCGUUCAAUGUGAGAGUUAUGAUCUCUUUAGACAUCCAUGUAACAGAGCCUCAACUCCUUCAUCCUCAGAUGUAAAGGCUAGUGAAGACCAAAUAAGCCUUGAAAGGUAAUUCCCCUAAAAAGGCAGAAUGUCUUAGGCUUUGGCCUCUCCCCUUCAAGCACAAUGAGAUCAUAACCUCUCUUUUGACUUCUCACUAUGCCCAGCACUGGAACAAAGCUCCUGACUCCACACCCUCACCUUUCCACCCUUGUGCCUUCACUGGGCAGACAAGAGAUGAGAAGACCUGAACUCUGGGACAGUCUGGGGAGAAAAGAAUCCAAAAAGGGUUGAGGCGGCAAGGGCUGAGCUCCCACGGGUGCCCCGGCCCAAAGGUGCAGGUCCAGGCUGUUUUCCAGGUGGCAUUCAGUGCAGGUUCUUCAAUGCCACUGGAAGGCAUGAAAAACCCACUGUAGCUGCUGCUGCUUCCUUUUCUUAAGCUGUGAAAAUGCAAACACUUUUUCAAGGUUUUCAGAUAUGCCCAGGUACCCCCAACUGAAAAGGAGGAUAAUGGCAUUGUUCAUCAUGGCUUAUUGUCUUGCCCAGGCAGGAGCCAGCCCCUGACUCGCCAAUCCAGCUGCCCCAGGCUGGAGGUGAUCCUUUCGAGCCUCCUCCCUGCAACUCCACUCCUCUUUUUUCUCUUCCUCAACCACCGGCAUACUUUUGGUCAUCCUCCUUGUUGUCACAAUGGGGGCGUGAUGCCAUAAAGACCUGGGAACCCCAAUGAUCUCAGGUCCCGCAGGGGUCAGGUGAGCAUAUAGGAAGUCCAGAAGGACAGUCAUCUGCCACCUCCAGUUGAAAAAGAACAAAACCCUCGCACUCCAGAAAUGAGUCAAGAACCCAGCGAAGGCCACAGGUCUAGCCCACAACCACCUAGGUAUGUGGGGUCCUCCAAGGCUCACGCUUGUGUCCUGCAGGCUGGAGCCCAUGCGAGGGUCUGCAGUCUUUGUUCCGGAUGGGGAACUACUGCUUCAGCUGGUUACCCAGGUGUCCCCGAUGGGGAAAGGAAGGAAAUGGUGAGAAUCUUCAGCACAACGGAUCACAUCACCCUGGCAGAGACCAGUCCGGCCUGCGCAUGGCACCAGCAGCCGCAGGCUAGAGGCAGUCAUGUCAGGCCUCCUCCAUACAGCAUCUCUCCUGCUUUUUUUUCAAACGGCCCUAAUCACUUAAUUUGGUCAUCUUCCCUGUCACAAUGGGGCACCUGGCGCUAUAGACACUUGGGAAACACACAGAUCUGGGGUCCUACAGUGUCCAGGUGAAGACGCCGGGAGUCAGAGAGGAAAGUCUUUUGAAGCCUCCAAAAGGAAUGCACAGGACCCCACUUGAAGAGGUGGAGUGCCCAGUGGCGGAUACAGGCCCCACACAUCGCAGCAGUAAACAGGGACUCCACGGUGUCCAGCUCUCCAGCCUGGGGUUUCUCAUCACCCAGUGAUUCCAAAAGAAACGAUCUACAAUGGCAUGACUAAGUUCCAGAAACAAAUAAACAAAAUACUGAGGGAAGCCCGUUGGUCACUUUGAUUCUUCAAAGGUGACAAUUGUCCCUCCCUGAAAUCUUGUGAGUGCAUGAACAGGCUAUUCUAAUGUAAAUGAAAUUCACACUAAAACUGAUUGAAAGAUGAUUCUGUUUCCAAGGUACUUUGUAUUCUCAAAUUGCACCUGCUUACCCUGGCCCCCUCAAAAUGGAAGAGUGAUGACUAUUUGUCUUCGUAGCACUGUGGGGACACAGAGCCUUAAAUGGAAGAGUGUCAAAAGCAACAUUCCAUAAAGGGCUGUCACUUCCAAUUUUCAAGCAAGGUUGGAAACCAACCAUGAUGUAUGAAACACUGUUGGCCAAAGUGCACAAUUAGUAAUACAAAAUGAAUAAUAUAAACUAUUGUAAAUAUGUGUGGACAUCGUGGCAAUUUGGACAUCAAAAAACACUGCCAAAUUCAGAAAGAGGAAGCUGUAAACUCAUGGCUGUUAGGAAGCUUAACUUCUGUGUACUAGAACCUAUCAAAAUUAAAUUUCUCCAUGUCAAUCCGUCCAAA